CCUACGGGUGGCAGCAGUGAGGAAUAUUGGUCAAUGGGCGCAAGCCUGAACCAGCCAAGUCGCGUGAGGGAUGACGGUCCUAUGGAUUGUAAACCUCUUUUGUCGGGGAGCAAGGCCCGCCACGUGUGGCGGGGAGGAGAGUACCCGAAGAAAAAGCAUCGGCUAACUCCGUGCCAGCAGCCGCGGUAAUACGUAGGAUGCGAGCGUUAUCCGGAUUUAUUGGGUUUAAGGGGUGCGUAGGCGGAAGGUUAAGUCAGCGGUCAAAUGGCGGUGCUCAACACCGGCCUGCCGUUGAAACUGGGCUUCUUGAGUGAGCGAGAAGUAUGCGGAAUGCGUGGUGUAGCGGUGAAAUGCAUAGAUAUCUCGCAGAACUCCGAAUGCGAAGGCAGCAUACCGGCGCUCAACUGACGCUGAGGCACGAAAGCGUGGGGAGCGAACAGGAUUAGAUACCCCUGUAGUC
Molecule: ribosomal RNA, 460 nt
Filed under: uncultured bacterium
Lineage: Bacteria
Description: partial 16S ribosomal RNA
Rfam family: Bacterial small subunit ribosomal RNA
Source: RNAcentral